Molecule: long non-coding RNA, 4470 nt
Filed under: Triticum aestivum (bread wheat)
Lineage: Eukaryota; Viridiplantae; Streptophyta; Magnoliopsida; Poales; Poaceae
Description: long non-coding RNA (TAES_LNC025418)
Source: RNAcentral
CAGUAGUGACCUCAAUGUCACGAAGCUUGGCCGCCCGCAUGGCGCACCUCUGCUACAUGGCAUCAACAUCCGGCUGGUCCUGGAGGCGGCAGCUCAUCCAUCGCCCCUCGGUGACAGGAUUCGGAAUCCCUCCAUAUGCGAUGAUAUCAUCACGAGCAGGCCCGUUGGGGGUAAGGCCUCCAGCCUCAUUCCCAAUAAGGCCGAGCCAGGCUGAAGCAACCUGGGAAGCGCCAUGAGCCGUCGUAGGAACCGUUGAGGCUCCCGACGCACCCAGCGUAGUCAGCCGGCAACCAGCGCACGGUGAUGCAGUGCGGGGCGCCCUAUCCAAAGGUGCGCAAGGGGAAGUGGGUGCGGGGGCCACCUGCCCGCGCUCCACGACGGCAGGCGUCGCUUGGACCUGCAGCUCAGUGGGCGUCGGUGAUACAUCUCCAACGUAUCUAUAAUUUUUGAUUGCUCCAUGCUAUAUUAUCUACUAUUUUGGACUAUAUUGGGCUUUAUUAUCCACUUUUAUAUUAUUUUUGGGACUAACUUAUUAACCGGAGGCCCAGCCCAGAAUUGCUGUUUUUUGCCUGUUUUAGGGUUUCGAAGAAAAGGAAUAUCAAACGGAGUCCAAACGGAAUGAAACCUUCGGGAACGUGAUUUUCUCACCGAAUACAACUCAGGAGACUUGGACCCUACGUCAAGGCACGUAACAGGAGGCCACGAGGUAGGGGGCGCGCCCUACCCCCCAGGCGUGCCCCCACCCUCGUGGGCCCCCUGUUGCUCCACCGACGUACUUCUUCCUCCUAUAUAUAUCCACGUACCCCCACUACACCACAACACUUGAUUGGGGGCAAUUAACUGCCGGGAGAAAUACCCGACCAAGGGCAAAUAAACUGCCAGGAUAUUAAUUUCUGCCAGUACAAGCAUCUUAGGGCAAGCAAACUGCCGGGAGAACUCGAGCAACGAUGGCACACUGACUGCCGGUACAAUCUAGGGCCCAUUAUCUGCCGGGACAACUAGAGAACGGCCCAUAUUCUGCCGGGGACCGUCUUCGGCGCGGCAAUGAAAAGUUUCAGCCCUAAGCGUGCGCUAGUGAGGAAAAAACGCGCGAGGGUGACAAGGAAUUUCGCCCAAAACAAACUUAGACGCGCCGGCCCACCGCACCAGACCGCAUCGCUGGCCCCCCAAAUCCCAAUCCACCCGUGCCCUACACCAUUGCGCCGCCGCCCCCAACAAUCUAACCUUCCACCGGCGGCCGCCCUCUAGCCAUCGCCAUCGCCAUCCCCAAAUCACUCAAUCUACUGGUUCCCGACACCAGAUCGCCGCUGCCCCCAACCGUUUGAUCCCUCCGCCGUCACCCCCACUCCCCCAGCACCGCAGCCCCUCCGCCGCCCCAAUCGGCCCCAGUGCCGCCGUCGCCCCCCACCACCGCAGCCCGUCCGCCGCCCCAACCAAUGCACUGCUGCGUCCUCCACCCAGACCACUGACGCCGUCGUCGCCCACCAUCGCAGCUCCUCUGCCGCCCCUAGCAUCCACUGUCGCUUCCUCCACCCAGACCACUGCCGCCGUCGCCCCCCAACCACUCCAGAGCGGCGCCGCCGAGCACCAAUUGACACGGAGCAUCCCAUCGCCGAGCCAAUCCACCGACGACCUUCCUCCUCCGCUGUACACCGUCGUUCCUCAGUUACCACCCUCCUCGCGAGCUUCCUCCCCCAAGCUAGCCCUCCGCACAUGCUCACCCGAGCCCCAAGGAGCUCCUCCGGCAAGCUGCACCUUCUCCACAGUUUAUGCCUUCACUAGAUUGUGACUUCUUGAAGCAAACACAGGAAGUUUCUGCUGCUAAUUUUUGCUUGUAUUGAUCUGUUGGGAGCCUUUAUGUACUUUAUACAGAUGCAGUUUAUCUUGCUACAAUUUUUUCUUGUAUUCAUCUGUUGGGAGUCUUUAUGUACUUUAUACUGAUUCACAUGUAAUAAGCAGCUUGUAGUAUUAGUGAAGGAACAACACCAGGAGACAACCCACUGACCAAGGAGCGCCCUUAUAUCAUCAGUAUCCACCGAAACAAUAGUGACCAUCGUAGUAGAUUAUAUAUGGCCGUGUCAACUGCAGUCUGGUCGUAGAUUUGAAGUUUGGUCAUCGUUCAUAUUGAUGUGAGUACACCAUGACCACCCCCUAGAGUGAACCAAAAUGAUGAGUCAUAACUGCUUCUUGUGCAAGCUUACUUUGUUCAUUUUCAAUGUAAUAUAUGGUAUUUAGAUUUUUUUCCCUAUUAAUAGAAGUAAACUUUCUUUUGUAUGUUACGCAAUGUAUUGCAUGGCCUUACAAGCAUGUAAGCUUAGGUCCUAUGAUUAAAUAUACAAUGACUAUCAUGGUUGAUUGCUUAAAACUCUUGCUUCUAUGUAUGCAGUUGGAAGUGAGUUAAUGGCAAAUGCGGCAAUGCGUUGCGACCACAAGCAAGCUGAGGAGGUAAUAUACAUGUUUCUUGGCUGAAUAUUUACAUUAGUGUGUACUAUCAAGGGCAGAUAGUAAUGGUUCGCUCAUUUGGUUGCUACAUGGUUAACUUGUGUCCAGAAAACUUGAGCUCCUGAUUCCAGUAUAUAGUAUUAAUUAGUAAUUCAAACAGAUCAUUAUAGUUCUUUAGAAGUGUGCUUUUGUGUCCAUCAGCCAUGAAUUUGGAGAGAGGUCAGUUGAAUAAAUAUGGUUACAAAUAUAAACUUUAAUUGGAUCAUCUUUCUUUCAUGUACACGAUAGACUCUACCAUGUAGAGAAAUGACUUUCAUUGGAUUCCAUGCUCACAACUUUCAUUUGAUUCAUUUCUCAUAACUGGAUCCUCUUUCUUUCAUGUACAUGAAGUAUUUUAGCUUGCUUGUUUGUUUGUUUGUUUGUUUGUCAAAAGCCUUGGUUUAUUUUUCUUGGCUAAUUCAACUUGUUGUCCAAGAUGUAGGAAAGUGAACCAAAUGUUCAUAGUGUUUCACUGGAUUUGUAAAUCUGUGGGCUUGUCCACUACUCAGAUACUCCCUCCGUCCCAAAAUAAGUCUCAUAACUUUUGUACAACUUUGUACUAAAGUUACAAAGUUGAUACACUUAUUUUGGGACGGAGCGAGUACCAUUUUAGGGGACCUUCAUUUGUAACUUGUCCAACAAAAGCAUGGAACCAGGAAACUAAACAACUCCCAUUAAAAGAUCCUGAAAUAUAUGUCCAGCUAGUUCCCCUCUUAUUCUGUGUAGCCAGCAAAUCAUUUAUGUAACUGAACUUUAAUAGCUCCUGCAAAGAGGGAGCAAAAAUUAAAAGGCUUGUUUAUGCAAUGGGACCAACAUUGAGUCAUCUUUACAAUAAGAGGCAAUGCUUCAGUGAAAAUCACAGUACUCCCAAUACACCCCUUCACCAGAUUCCGCAACAGGAGAAAUGUAGUUCAACUUCGUGUUCUGGAUGCAGGAAGUCUGUAAGCACAGUUGUCAUCAUUGCUCUAAGGAAAUACCACGCAAAACCACAAAAUGGUAUCGUCAUUUAUAGAUUUCCAGAUUCAUUAUCCUAUUAUGUUGUGCCAACUUCAUAUAGGAACUCAAAAUAAAUCAGCUUAUAUCCAAGGUCAGGCUCAAUAUCAAGGCCCACUAGAGACUGGACUAGCACACUGAAUCCACAGGUUCCGAUACUAAUGUGUAAUUGUAUUACUUUGAAGAAGCCAAGGUAUACGACAUACGAAAUUUUAAGAAGCACAACUAAACACCUGUUGCGUUCUGGUAGAGAAAAAGUACCAGGUGAAAAUAAGAUGCUAUAAUUUUGCAUAUGUGCUUGUUCAGUACACUAGCUUCAAAAUUUGCUUGUGUAAUGUUAAGUGUGUGAUCGUGGCCUUGUGCUUGUGUAAUAUUCGUACAGACUUUGCACACUAUAUUUGGAUGAGAAGUUAGAUAAGCUUGCUACUGUCAAGAUGAUAAAAAAUGGACAUGUUGAUGUCCAGGAUAUGUUGUCUACUAAAGUAGAGAUUACUCUAGAGAUCUCUACUAUUAAAGGAGAAUCGAACGUCGUGAUGGUUCGACCUCCUUCGCUCGCCCCCACCUCGUUCGAUCCCGUACGUGAAAACUUCUCCCCACACGCGAAAAAAACGGACCCCCUCGGCUCCUCCCCACCCGUCGCACGAAAAAAAUGACAACAAAAUAAAACAACGCACGUACGCACGUCCCACCCCCACUUCCCUUCCCCCAAAUCCCUUGCUCUCGAGAGAGGAAUUGCCGCCGCUGACCUCCUCAGUCCUCACGGUGACCUCGAGCGGUUGCACACUGCAACCAAAUUAGACUGGAGCAGUGGAUCCAAGCCCUUUCCAUCUCAUCCAUUCUUCACCGAGUCCAGGAGGAGCUCGAUGUAGGGAGGUAGACGAGCAAGAGCGCCGCGUCCAUGGCAACGAUGAACAGGGCAUAGGUAACGUAUCUUCCUACCCUCACUCCAACCCAUCUUCUCCCCGUAGCCUGUACUGGGGUACACCCACGUUCUCC